Helicoverpa zea (corn earworm) is the source of this 439-nucleotide long non-coding RNA. RefSeq lists it as uncharacterized. The record is from RefSeq and is a predicted model, not a curated record. NCBI's taxonomy places the organism in Eukaryota, Metazoa, Arthropoda, Insecta, Lepidoptera, Noctuidae. The transcript has 3 exons.
UAAUCUAUCCUUGAAUACCUUCAAGUAAACAUUAGAGUUAGAAAUUAAAUAUUGUUUCAAUAUAUAAUAUUGCGAUGGCGUCUUUCGUGUUACCUAUGUUUUUGUGUGUACUUGUUUUAAGUAUUGUUUCUGCUUUGCCGGCUGAUCAGAAACCUCUUGAUUGCCCGCAAAAUGAAGAAUACUAUAGAUGUUCACCGGCUAAAUGUUACAAGGUCUGCAGUGAUUUGAAGAACCCGCCUGGCUGUCCUGGGUUAUCUGGUGAUUGCUACCAGCCCUCUUGCGAAUGCAUUUCUGAUUACCUGAGGAACUCUGAAGGAAAAUGUGUCCCUUGGCAAGAAUGCUAGUUUUUAAUUUCUUCAUUGUUCGUAAGGACACCUAAGGACCAGAAGUUGAGCCUAAAAAUCUAUUUUGUUUUUAAAUAAAAAAAAAAUCACAAUUA